Molecule: ribosomal RNA, 589 nt
Filed under: Salmonella enterica subsp. enterica serovar Stanley
Lineage: Bacteria; Pseudomonadati; Pseudomonadota; Gammaproteobacteria; Enterobacterales; Enterobacteriaceae
Description: partial 23S ribosomal RNA
Rfam family: Bacterial large subunit ribosomal RNA
Source: RNAcentral
GUGGACGCCAGUCUGCAUGGAGCCGGCCUUGAAAUACCACCCUUUAAUGUUUGAUGUUCUAACGUGGACCCGUAAUCCGGGUUGCGGACAGUGUCUGGUGGGUAGUUUGACUGGGGCGGUCUCCUCCUAAAGAGUAACGGAGGAGCACGAAGGUUGGCUAAUCCUGGUCGGACAUCAGGAGGUUAGUGCAAUGGCAUAAGCCAGCUUGACUGCGAGCGUGACGGCGCGAGCAGGUGCGAAAGCAGGUCAUAGUGAUCCGGUGGUUCUGAAUGGAAGGGCCAUCGCUCAACGGAUAAAAGGUACUCCGGGGAUAACAGGCUGAUACCGCCCAAGAGUUCAUAUCGACGGCGGUGUUUGGCACCUCGAUGUCGGCUCAUCACAUCCUGGGGCUGAAGUAGGUCCCAAGGGUAUGGCUGUUCGCCAUUUAAAGUGGUACGCGAGCUGGGUUUAGAACGUCGUGAGACAGUUCGGUCCCUAUCUGCCGUGGGCGCUGGAGAACUGAGGGGGGCUGCUCCUAGUACGAGAGGACCGGAGUGGACGCAUCACUGGUGUUCGGGUUGUCAUGCCAAUGGCACUGCCCGGUAGCUAA